RNAcentral lists this ribosomal RNA (507 nucleotides) under uncultured bacterium. Its description in RNAcentral is "bacterial SSU rRNA". It matches the Rfam family "Bacterial small subunit ribosomal RNA", at positions 21 to 518 of the family's 1533-position model. The record is from RNAcentral.
GGCUCGGGAUGAACGCUAGCUACAGGCUUAACACAUGCAAGUCGAGGGGCAGCAGGGCAAUAGCUUGCUAUCCAGAUGGCGACCGGCGCACGGGUGAGUAACGCGUAUCCAACUUCCCCAUAGUAGGGCACAGCCCGGCGAAAGUCGGAUUAAUUCCCUAUGCAGUCCAGAGAGGACAUCUGACCUGGACGAAAGAUUCAUCGCUAUGGGAUGGGGAUGCGUCUGAUUAGGUUGCAGGCGGGUAACGGCCCACCUGGCCGACGAUCAGUAGGGGUUCUGAGAGGAAGGUCCCCCACAUUGGAACUGAGACACGGUCCAAACUCCUACGGGAGGCAGCAGUGAGGAAUAUUGGUCAAUGGACGGAAGUCUGAACCAGCCAAGUAGCGUGCAGGGAAAGACGGCCCUAUGGGUUGUAAACUGCUUUUAUCAGGGGAUAAAGUGAGGUAUGUAUACCUUUUUGCAUGUACCUGAUGAAUAAGGACCGGCUAAUUCCGUGCCAGCAGCUGC